AUUGAACGCUGGCGGCAUGCUUUACACAUGCAAGUCGCACGAAGGUUUCGGCCUUAGUGGCGGACGGGUGAGUAACGCGUAGGAAUCUAUCCAUGGGUGGGGGAUAACACUGGGAAACUGGUGCUAAUACCGCAUGAUACCUGAGGGUCAAAGGCGCAAGUCGCCUGUGGAGGAGCCUGCGUUCGAUUAGCUAGUUGGUGGGGUAAAGGCCUACCAAGGCGAUGAUCGAUAGCUGGUUUGAGAGGAUGAUCAGCCACACUGGGACUGAGACACGGCCCAGACUCCUACGGGAGGCAGCAGUGGGGAAUAUUGGACAAUGGGGGCAACCCUGAUCCAGCAAUGCCGCGUGUGUGAAGAAGGUCUUCGGAUUGUAAAGCACUUUCGACGGGGACGAUGAUGACGGUACCCGUAGAAGAAGCCCCGGCUAACUUCGUGCCAGCCGCCGCAGUAA
Molecule: ribosomal RNA, 451 nt
Filed under: uncultured bacterium
Lineage: Bacteria
Description: partial 16S ribosomal RNA
Rfam family: Bacterial small subunit ribosomal RNA
Source: RNAcentral